ACCUUGCCUACCGGCAGGCAGGUUGAAACGGAAAGCUUUUUUUGAAAAAACAAAUUAGUUUUGUUGGCUUGGCAAAGCGACCUUGGGAGCUCUUGCCGAGGCUUACAAAACUUUUGUUUUGAAAAAAACUUGUAGUGAAAAGCCGGAAUAGCU
Molecule: small RNA, 153 nt
Filed under: Flavobacterium lacus
Lineage: Bacteria; Pseudomonadati; Bacteroidota; Flavobacteriia; Flavobacteriales; Flavobacteriaceae
Description: Flavo-1 RNA
Rfam family: Flavo-1 RNA
Source: RNAcentral